RNAcentral lists this transfer RNA (68 nucleotides) under Malaxella flava. Its description in RNAcentral is "tRNA-Trp". Lineage: Eukaryota; Metazoa; Arthropoda; Insecta; Hemiptera; Delphacidae. The record is from RNAcentral.
AAGGAUUUAAGUUAAAUAAACUAUUAACCUUCAAAGUUAAAAAUAUUUUCGCAACAAAUUAAACCUUA